AAUCAACGCUGGCGGCGUGCCUAACACAUGCAAGUCGAACGCGAAAGCCCCGCAAGGGGGUAAGUAGAGUGGCGCACGGGCGAGUAACACGUGGAUAACCUGCCUUUGAGUGGGGAAUAACCUUCCGAAAGGAGGGCUAAUACCGCAUAACACCUUUAGACAAAAGUCAAAGGGUUAAAAGGAGCAAUUCGCUCAAAGAGGGGUCCGCGCCUGAUUAGCUAGUUGGUGAGGUAACGGCUCACCAAGGCUCGAUCAGUAGCCGUCCUGAGAGGGAGCACGGCCACACUGGAACUGAGACACGGUCCAGACUCCUACGGGAGGCAGCAGUGGGGAAUUUUUGGCAAUGGGCGAAAGCCUGACCAAGCAACGCCGCGUGGGUGAUGAAGUAUCUUGGUACGUAAAACCCUUUCGGCAGGGACGAACUCAAUGACGGUACCUGCGGAAGAAGCCCCGGCUAACUCCGUGCCAGCCGCCGCCGU
This 479-nucleotide ribosomal RNA is filed under the name uncultured bacterium. Its description in RNAcentral is "bacterial SSU rRNA". It matches the Rfam family "Bacterial small subunit ribosomal RNA", at positions 32 to 521 of the family's 1533-position model. The record is from RNAcentral.